This 451-nucleotide ribosomal RNA is filed under the name uncultured bacterium. Its description in RNAcentral is "partial 16S ribosomal RNA". It matches the Rfam family "Bacterial small subunit ribosomal RNA", at positions 28 to 507 of the family's 1533-position model. The record is from RNAcentral.
AGCGAACGCUGGCGGCAUGCCUAACACAUGCAAGUCGCACGGGGGGGCUUCGGCCUCCCAGUGUCGGACGGGUGAGGAACGCGUAGUGACCUGUCGAGGGGUUGGGGAUAACCGCGGGAAACUGCUGCUAAUACCGCAUGACGCCGCGGCGUGACAGCCGCGUCCAAAGGCGAAAGCCGCCCGCCGAGGGGCCUGCGUCCGAUUAGCUGGUUGGCGGGGUAGCGGCACACCAAGGCGUCGAGCGGUAGCUGGUCGGAGAGGGUGAUCAGCCACACCGGGACUGAGCCACGGCCCGGACUCCUACGGGAGGCAGCAGUGGGGAAUAUUGGAGAAUGGGCGCAAGCCUGAUCCAGCAAUGCCGCGUGGGUGAAGAAGGUCUUCGGAUUGUAAAGCCCUUUCGGCGGGGACGAUGGUGACGGUACCCGCAGAAGAAGCCCCGGCUAACUUCGUG